Molecule: ribosomal RNA, 253 nt
Filed under: uncultured bacterium
Lineage: Bacteria
Description: partial 16S ribosomal RNA
Rfam family: Bacterial small subunit ribosomal RNA
Source: RNAcentral
UACAGAGGGUGCAAGCGUUAAUCGGAAUUACUGGGCGUAAAGCGUGCGCAGGCGGUUUUGUAAGCCAGAUGUGAAAGCCCCGGGCUUAACCUGGGAAUGGCAUUUGGGACUGCAAGGCUUGAGUGCGGCAGAGGAGACUGGAAUUCCUGGUGUAGCAGUGAAAUGCGUAGAUAUCAGGAGGAAUACCGAUGGCGAAGGCAGGUCUCUGGGCUGACACUGACGCUCAUGCACGAAAGCGUGGGGAGCAAACAGG